GUACACUCCUACGGGAGGCAGCAGUGGGGAAUAUUGGACAAUGGGCGCAAGCCUGAUCCAGCCAUGCCGCGUGAGUGAUGAAGGCCCUAGGGUUGUAAAGCUCUUUCACCGGUGAAGAUAAUGACGGUAACCGGAGAAGAAGCCCCGGCUAACUUCGUGCCAGCAGCCGCGGUAAUACGAAGGGGGCUAGCGUUGUUCGGAUUUACUGGGCGUAAAGCGCACGUAGGCGGACUAUUAAGUCAGGGGUGAAAUCCCGGGGCUCAACCCCGGAACUGCCUUUGAUACUGGUAGUCUUGAGUUCGAGAGAGGUAAGUGGAAUUCCGAGUGUAGAGGUGAAAUUCGUAGAUAUUCGGAGGAACACCAGUGGCGAAGGCGGCUCACUGGCUCGAUACUGACGCUGAGGUGCGAAAGCGUGGGGAGCAAACAGGAUUAGAUACCCCGGUAGUCCC
This 449-nucleotide ribosomal RNA is filed under the name uncultured organism. RNAcentral describes it as "partial 16S ribosomal RNA". It matches the Rfam family "Bacterial small subunit ribosomal RNA", at positions 331 to 797 of the family's 1533-position model. The record is from RNAcentral.